GCGCGAAAACUUUGCAAUGCGGGAAACCGUGACAAGGGAACUCCGAGUGCCCGUAAAUUCGGGCUGUCCAUCAGUUUAAAUAACUGGUGAAGAAAGGGCCGGGCAAGACCGGUGCCAGCCGCCGCGGUAAUACCGGCGGCUCGAGUGGUGGCCACUAUUACUGGGCUUAAAGCGUCCGUAGCUGGUCUGUUAAGUCUCUGGGGAAAUCUACCGGCUUAACCGGUAGGCGUCUCAGGGAUACUGGCAGACUAGGGACCGGGAGAGGUGAGAGGUACUCCAGGGGUAGGAGUGAAAUCCUGUAAUCCUUGGGGGACCACCUGUGGCGAAGGCGUCUCACCAGAACGGCUCCGACAGUGAGGGACGAAAGCUGGGGGAGCAAACCGGAUUAGAUACCCGGGUAGUCCCAGCUGUAAACGAUGCGCGUUAGGUGUAUCGGUGACCACGAGUCACCGAGGUGCCGAAGGGAACCGUGAAACGUGCCGCCUGGGAAGUACGGUCGCAAGGCUGAAACUUAAAGGAAUUGGCGGGGGAGCGACCACGAACGGGUGGAGCCUGCGGUUUAAUC
RNAcentral lists this ribosomal RNA (565 nucleotides) under uncultured Methanomicrobiales archaeon. Its description in RNAcentral is "bacterial SSU rRNA". It matches the Rfam family "Archaeal small subunit ribosomal RNA", at positions 339 to 907 of the family's 1478-position model. The record is from RNAcentral. Lineage: Archaea; Methanobacteriati; Methanobacteriota; Methanomicrobia; Methanomicrobiales.